AACGAACGCUGGCGGCAUGCCUAACACAUGCAAGUCGAACGAGACCUUCGGGUCUAGUGGCGCACGGGUGCGUAACGCGUGGGAACCUGCCCUUAGGUUCGGUAUAACUCACCGAAAGGGGUGCUAAUACCGGUUAAUGUCUUCGCACCAAAGAUCUAUCGCCAUUGGAUGGGCCCGCGUUGGAUUCGCUGGUUGGUAGUGUAAAAGCCUACCAAGGCGAGGAUCCAUAGCUGGUCGGAUAGGAGGACCAGCCGCAAUGGGGCUGAGACACGGCCCAGACUCCUAGGGAGGGGAGCAGAGGGGAAUAUUGGAGGAGGGAGGAAGGCCUGAUCCAGCAGUGCGGGGUGAGUGGUGAAGGGCGUAGGAUUGUAAAGCUCUUUGAGCCGGGAUGAUAAUGACAGUACCGGGUGAAUAAGCACCGGCUAACUACGUG
This 433-nucleotide ribosomal RNA is filed under the name uncultured bacterium. Its description in RNAcentral is "partial 16S ribosomal RNA". It matches the Rfam family "Bacterial small subunit ribosomal RNA", at positions 29 to 507 of the family's 1533-position model. The record is from RNAcentral.